Molecule: ribosomal RNA, 203 nt
Filed under: uncultured bacterium
Lineage: Bacteria
Description: partial 16S ribosomal RNA
Rfam family: Bacterial small subunit ribosomal RNA
Source: RNAcentral
AUUGUAGUCUGCAACUCGACUACAUNAAGCUGGAAUCGCUAGUAAUCGCGGAUCAGAAUGCCGCGGUGAAUACGUUCCCGGGCCUUGUACACACCGCCCGUCACACCAUGGGAGCCGGUAAUACCCGAAGUCAGUAGUCCAACCUCGUGAGGACGCUGCCGAAGGUAGGAUUGGCGACUGGGGUGAAGUCGUAACAAGGUACC